CAUAGGUUAAUGAGGCGAACCGGGGGAACUGAAACAUCUAAGUACCCCGAGGAAAAGAAAUCAACCGAGAUUCCCCCAGUAGCGGCGAGCGAACGGGGAGGAGCCCAGAGCCUGAAUCAGUGUGUGUGUUAGUGGAAGCGUCUGGAAAGGCGCGCGAUACAGGGUGACAGCCCCGUACACAAAAAUGCACAUGCUGUGAGCUCGAUGAGUAGGGCGGGACACGUGGUAUCCUGUCUGAAUAUGGGGGGACCAUCCUCCAAGGCUAAAUACUCCUGACUGACCGAUAGUGAACCAGUACCGUGAGGGAAAGGCGAAAAGAACCCCGGCGAGGGGAGUGAAAAAGAACCUGAAACCGUGUACGUACAAGCAGUGGGAGCCUCUUAAUGGGGUGACUGCGUACCUUUUGUAUAAUGGGUCAGCGACUUAUAUUCUGUAGCAAGGUUAACCGAAUAGGGGAGCCGAAGGGAAACCGAGUCUUAACUGGGCGUUAAGUUGCAGGGUAUAGACCCGAAACCCGGUGAUCUAGCCAUGGGCAGGUUGAAGGUUGGGUAACACUAACUGGAGGACCGAACCGACUAAUGUUGAAAAAUUAGCGGAUGACUUGUGGCUGGGGGUGAAAGGCCAAUCAAACCGGGAGAUAGCUGGUUCUCCCCGAAAGCUAUUUAGGUAGCGCCUCGUGAAUUCAUCUCCGGGGGUAGAGCACUGUUUCGGCAAGGGGGUCAUCCCGACUUACCAACCCGAUGCAAACUGCGAAUACCGGAGAAUGUUAUCACGGGAGACACACGGCGGGUGCUAACGUCCGUCGUGAAGAGGGAAACAACCCAGACCGCCAGCUAAGGUCCCAAAGUCAUGGUUAAGUGGGAAACG
This 867-nucleotide ribosomal RNA is filed under the name Escherichia coli. Its description in RNAcentral is "partial 23S ribosomal RNA". It matches the Rfam family "Bacterial large subunit ribosomal RNA", at positions 165 to 1072 of the family's 2925-position model. Lineage: Bacteria; Pseudomonadati; Pseudomonadota; Gammaproteobacteria; Enterobacterales; Enterobacteriaceae. The record is from RNAcentral.